UGGGGAAUAUUGGACAAUGGGCGCAAGCCUGAUCCAGCAAUGCCGCGUGUGUGAAGAAGGCCUUCGGGUUGUAAAGCACUUUUAUCAGGAGCGAAACGCUGUCGGCUAAUACCCGGCGGAACUGACGGUACCUGAGGAAUAAGCACCGGCUAACUUCGUGCCAGCAGCCGCGGUAAUACGAAGGGUGCAAGCGUUAAUCGGAAUUACUGGGCGUAAAGCGUGCGUAGGCGGUUUCUUAAGUCUGCUGUGAAAUCCCCGGGCUCAACCUGGGAAUGGCAGUGGAUACUGGGAGGCUAGAGUGUGUCAGAGGGUGGUGGAAUUCCCGGUGUAGCGGUGAAAUGCGUAGAGAUCGGGAGGAACAUCAGUGGCGAAGGCGGCCACCUGGGACAACACUGACGCUGAGGCACGAAAGCGUGGGGGAGCAAACAGGAUUAGAUACCCUGGUAGUCCACGCCCUAAACGAUGCGAACUGGAUGUUGGUCUCAACUCGGAGAUCAGUGUCGAAGCUAACGCGUUAAGUUCGCCGCCUGGGGAGUACGGUCGCAAGACUGAAACUUAAAUGAAUUGACGGGGUCAUAGCUGUUUCC
This 587-nucleotide ribosomal RNA is filed under the name uncultured bacterium. RNAcentral's name for it is "partial 16S ribosomal RNA". It matches the Rfam family "Bacterial small subunit ribosomal RNA", at positions 355 to 937 of the family's 1533-position model. The record is from RNAcentral.